RNAcentral lists this ribosomal RNA (2634 nucleotides) under Staphylococcus aureus DAR3616. RNAcentral's name for it is "bacterial LSU rRNA". It matches the Rfam family "Bacterial large subunit ribosomal RNA". The record is from RNAcentral. Lineage: Bacteria; Bacillati; Bacillota; Bacilli; Caryophanales; Staphylococcaceae.
UUAAGUUAUUAAGGGCGCACGGUGGAUGCCUUGGCACUAGAAGCCGAUGAAGGACGUUACUAACGACGAUAUGCUUUGGGGAGCUGUAAGUAAGCUUUGAUCCAGAGAUUUCCGAAUGGGGAAACCCAGCAUGAGUUAUGUCAUGUUAUCGAUAUGUGAAUACAUAGCAUAUCAGAAGGCACACCCGGAGAACUGAAACAUCUUAGUACCCGGAGGAAGAGAAAGAAAAUUCGAUUCCCUUAGUAGCGGCGAGCGAAACGGGAAGAGCCCAAACCAACAAGCUUGCUUGUUGGGGUUGUAGGACACUCUAUACGGAGUUACAAAGGACGACAUUAGACGAAUCAUCUGGAAAGAUGAAUCAAAGAAGGUAAUAAUCCUGUAGUCGAAAAUGUUGUCUCUCUUGAGUGGAUCCUGAGUACGACGGAGCACGUGAAAUUCCGUCGGAAUCUGGGAGGACCAUCUCCUAAGGCUAAAUACUCUCUAGUGACCGAUAGUGAACCAGUACCGUGAGGGAAAGGUGAAAAGCACCCCGGAAGGGGAGUGAAAUAGAACCUGAAACCGUGUGCUUACAAGUAGUCAGAGCCCGUUAAUGGGUGAUGGCGUGCCUUUUGUAGAAUGAACCGGCGAGUUACGAUUUGAUGCAAGGUUAAGCAGUAAAUGUGGAGCCGUAGCGAAAGCGAGUCUGAAUAGGGCGUUUAGUAUUUGGUCGUAGACCCGAAACCAGGUGAUCUACCCUUGGUCAGGUUGAAGUUCAGGUAACACUGAAUGGAGGACCGAACCGACUUACGUUGAAAAGUGAGCGGAUGAACUGAGGGUAGCGGAGAAAUUCCAAUCGAACCUGGAGAUAGCUGGUUCUCUCCGAAAUAGCUUUAGGGCUAGCCUCAAGUGAUGAUUAUUGGAGGUAGAGCACUGUUUGGACGAGGGGCCCCUCUCGGGUUACCGAAUUCAGACAAACUCCGAAUGCCAAUUAAUUUAACUUGGGAGUCAGAACAUGGGUGAUAAGGUCCGUGUUCGAAAGGGAAACAGCCCAGACCACCAGCUAAGGUCCCAAAAUAUAUGUUAAGUGGAAAAGGAUGUGGCGUUGCCCAGACAACUAGGAUGUUGGCUUAGAAGCAGCCAUCAUUUAAAGAGUGCGUAAUAGCUCACUAGUCGAGUGACACUGCGCCGAAAAUGUACCGGGGCUAAACAUAUUACCGAAGCUGUGGAUUGUCCUUUGGACAAUGGUAGGAGAGCGUUCUAAGGGCGUUGAAGCAUGAUCGUAAGGACAUGUGGAGCGCUUAGAAGUGAGAAUGCCGGUGUGAGUAGCGAAAGACGGGUGAGAAUCCCGUCCACCGAUUGACUAAGGUUUCCAGAGGAAGGCUCGUCCGCUCUGGGUUAGUCGGGUCCUAAGCUGAGGCCGACAGGCGUAGGCGAUGGAUAACAGGUUGAUAUUCCUGUACCACCUAUAAUCGUUUUAAUCGAUGGGGGGACGCAGUAGGAUAGGCGAAGCGUGCGAUUGGAUUGCACGUCUAAGCAGUAAGGCUGAGUAUUAGGCAAAUCCGGUACUCGUUAAGGCUGAGCUGUGAUGGGGAGAAGACAUUGUGUCUUCGAGUCGUUGAUUUCACACUGCCGAGAAAAGCCUCUAGAUAGAAAAUAGGUGCCCGUACCGCAAACCGACACAGGUAGUCAAGAUGAGAAUUCUAAGGUGAGCGAGCGAACUCUCGUUAAGGAACUCGGCAAAAUGACCCCGUAACUUCGGGAGAAGGGGUGCUCUUUAGGGUUAACGCCCAGAAGAGCCGCAGUGAAUAGGCCCAAGCGACUGUUUAUCAAAAACACAGGUCUCUGCUAAACCGUAAGGUGAUGUAUAGGGGCUGACGCCUGCCCGGUGCUGGAAGGUUAAGAGGAGUGGUUAGCUUCUGCGAAGCUACGAAUCGAAGCCCCAGUAAACGGCGGCCGUAACUAUAACGGUCCUAAGGUAGCGAAAUUCCUUGUCGGGUAAGUUCCGACCCGCACGAAAGGCGUAACGAUUUGGGCACUGUCUCAACGAGAGACUCGGUGAAAUCAUAGUACCUGUGAAGAUGCAGGUUACCCGCGACAGGACGGAAAGACCCCGUGGAGCUUUACUGUAGCCUGAUAUUGAAAUUCGGCACAGCUUGUACAGGAUAGGUAGGAGCCUUUGAAACGUGAGCGCUAGCUUACGUGGAGGCGCUGGUGGGAUACUACCCUAGCUGUGUUGGCUUUCUAACCCGCACCACUUAUCGUGGUGGGAGACAGUGUCAGGCGGGCAGUUUGACUGGGGCGGUCGCCUCCUAAAAGGUAACGGAGGCGCUCAAAGGUUCCCUCAGAAUGGUUGGAAAUCAUUCAUAGAGUGUAAAGGCAUAAGGGAGCUUGACUGCGAGACCUACAAGUCGAGCAGGGUCGAAAGACGGACUUAGUGAUCCGGUGGUUCCGCAUGGAAGGGCCAUCGCUCAACGGAUAAAAGCUACCCCGGGGAUAACAGGCUUAUCUCCCCCAAGAGUUCACAUCGACGGGGAGGUUUGGCACCUCGAUGUCGGCUCAUCGCAUCCUGGGGCUGUAGUCGGUCCCAAGGGUUGGGCUGUUCGCCCAUUAAAGCGGUACGCGAGCUGGGUUCAGAACGUCGUGAGACAGUUCGGU